This 310-nucleotide ribosomal RNA is filed under the name uncultured bacterium. RNAcentral's name for it is "bacterial SSU rRNA". It matches the Rfam family "Bacterial small subunit ribosomal RNA", at positions 30 to 334 of the family's 1533-position model. The record is from RNAcentral.
AUUGAACGCUGGCGGCAGGCCUAACACAUGCAAGUCGAGCGGUAACAGGAGAAAGCUUGCUUUCUUGCUGACGAGCGGCGGACGGGUGAGUAAUGUAUGGGGAUCUGCCCGAUAGAGGGGGAUAACUACUGGAAACGGUGGCUAAUACCGCAUAAUGUCUACGGACCAAAGCAGGGGCUCUUCGGACCUUGCACUAUCGGAUGAACCCAUAUGGGAUUAGCUAGUAGGUGGGGUAAAGGCUCACCUAGGCGACGAUCUCUAGCUGGUCUGAGAGGAUGAUCAGCCACACUGGGACUGAGACACGGCCCAG